GUGCCAGCAGCCGCGGUAAUACCAGCUCUCCGAGUGGUGGGGAUGAUUAUUGGGCCUAAAGCAUCCGUAGCCGGCUGGACAAGUCCCCUGUUAAAUCCAACGAUCCAAUCGUUGGUCUGCGGGGGAUACUGUCCGGCUUGGGGGCGGGAGAGGCCGCCGGUAUUUCCGGGGUAGGGGUGAAAUCCUAUAAUCCCGGGAGGACCACCAGUGGCGAAGGCUGUCGGCUAGAACGCGCCCGACGGUGAGGGAUGAAAGCUGGGGGAGCGAACCGGAUUAGAUACCCGGGUAGUCCCAGCUGUAAACGAUGCAGGCUAGGUGUUAGGGCGGCUACGUGCCGCUCUAGUGCCGCAGGGAAGCUGUUAAGCCUGCCGCCUGGGGAGUACGGUCGCAAGGCUGAAACUUAAAUGAAUUGACGGGG
This 418-nucleotide ribosomal RNA is filed under the name uncultured prokaryote. Its description in RNAcentral is "bacterial SSU rRNA". It matches the Rfam family "Archaeal small subunit ribosomal RNA", at positions 455 to 873 of the family's 1478-position model. The record is from RNAcentral.